RNAcentral lists this long non-coding RNA (381 nucleotides) under Salmo trutta (river trout). RNAcentral describes it as "lncRNA (ENSSTUG00000050646.1)". Lineage: Eukaryota; Metazoa; Chordata; Actinopteri; Salmoniformes; Salmonidae. The record is from RNAcentral.
UGGUUGGUUCUGAGCAGGUUUUAAAAACAUUGACAGUCGUUUAGUGAUGUCACCUAAAUCCUUCCAAUCAUCUUCUUUUCCAGGGAAAUUCCGAGGAGUUCAGAUUCUUUCAUUCCUUCUGGUCCGAGGCAGCAUUGGUAUCAAGUGUUCCUAACAGGUGGGGGCAUUGGGGGUAUUGGUCAUACUGGUGUUGUUGGCGAGGACGAAGCUUGGGCAUCGGGCAGAAUGUUGCCACCUGCAUGAGUGGAACAGAGGAGCCUCAGUUCUGGUUCUCUUUCCUGAGACGACAACCACAGGAUGAGGCUUGAGAGGAGGUAAGAGUUUGAGAUGGAUGUGGUGUUGUGUUGAAAUGUGAUUGUCAAUUUGGAGCCAUUCUGUCCA